ACGGAGGAUGCAAGCGUUAUCCGGAAUUAUUGGGCUUAAAGGGUGCGUAGGUGGAUUAUUAAGCGAGAGGUGAAAUGCAAUAGCUUAACUAUUGAAAUCCUUUGGAACUGGAAGCCUUGAGUUCAGGUGAGGAAAGUGGAAUUUCUAGUGUAGCGGUGAAAUGCGUAGAUAUUACGAGGAACACCAGUUGCGAAGGCAGCUUACUGGGCCGUCACUGACACUGAGGCACGAAAGCGUGGGGAGCAAACAG
Molecule: ribosomal RNA, 250 nt
Filed under: uncultured prokaryote
Description: partial 16S rRNA
Rfam family: Bacterial small subunit ribosomal RNA
Source: RNAcentral